GAUGAACGCUGGCGGCGUGCCUAAUACAUGCAAGUCGAGCGAACAGAUGAGGAGCUUGCUCCUCUGACGUUAGCGGCGGACGGGUGAGUAACACGUGGAUAACCUACCUAUAAGACUGGGAUAACUUCGGGAAACCGGAGCUAAUACCGGAUAAUAUAUUGAACCGCAUGGUUCAAUAGUGAAAGACGGUUUUGCUGUCACUUAUAGAUGGAUCCGCGCCGCAUUAGCUAGUUGGUAAGGUAACGGCUUACCAAGGCAACGAUGCGUAGCCGACCUGAGAGGGUGAUCGGCCACCCUGGAACUGAGACACGGUCCAGACUCCUACGGGAGGCAGCAGUAGGGAAUCUUCCGCAAUGGGCGAAAGCUUGACGGAGCAACGCCGCGUGAGUGAUGAAGGUCUUCGGAUCGUAAAACUCUGUUAUUAGGGAAGAACAAAUGUGUAAGUAACUAUGCACGUCUUGACGGUACCUAAUCAGAAAGCCACGGCUAACUACGUG
This 497-nucleotide ribosomal RNA is filed under the name uncultured bacterium. RNAcentral's name for it is "partial 16S ribosomal RNA". It matches the Rfam family "Bacterial small subunit ribosomal RNA", at positions 28 to 507 of the family's 1533-position model. The record is from RNAcentral.